GUCAGAAAAUGACGCUCAUGGGGCGUGGCUUUUACCAUAUAUGGAGGUCUGACGAUUCCUGUCAAGCAGUGGCGCUCGACUGUUCGAGUAUUAGCCUAUAGAAGCAACCUGAGAACACUCGCUCUACUUUUCUCUUGCAAUGUGAGUCAAGCCACAUGAGCCAUCCUGAGCACACACACAAACACACACUGACAAACUGAUCAUCUUAAAAAAGCAACGCCCUGGUGCUCACUUGGCCUACUUUCCACGGCAUGCAGCAGCAGUAGCAGCAGCAGCAGCAGCAGAGGGACGUGGGAGGAGAAGGAAAAACAUUCAGGAGCUCUCUGGGAAGAAUACUUCAUAUAGUAUAUAGUCAUUGAACACUGGCCACCUCACAUUCUGUUUAUAUACUAUUGUUUACUCAUUGUGUAUGCAUAUACUGUUUUCUCAACAUAGCUCAUCCUAAUGUGCCAACUACUGUCCAUACCAUUUUUUUCCCAUGUUACAGUGCCUUCAAAUUACAGUGCCUGCAUACCCCUCCACUUAUUCCACAUUUUGUUGUGUUACAGACUGAAUUAAAAAUGGAUUACAUUAAAACAAAAAUCUACCAUCUACACACAAUACCCCAUAAUGACAUAGUGAAAACAUGUUUUUAGAAAUUGUUGCAAAUGUAUUGAAAAUCAAAUACAGAGAUAUCUAAUUUACAUAAGCAUUCACACCCAUGAGUCAAUACUUUGCAUAGUCUUCCUGUGUAAGUCUCUAAGACACUGGUUCUCAAUCCUGGUCCCGGGGGCCUAAUGGGGUGCACAUUUUUAUUUUUGCCCCAGCACUACACAGCUGAUUCAAAUUAUCAGCUCAUCAAAAGGCUUUGAUGAUUUGAAUCAGGUGUGUAGUGCUAGGGCAAAAACAAAAAUGUGCACCCUUUGGGUCCUCAGGACUAGGAUUGAGAACCACUGCUCGAAGAGCUUUUAACACCUGGAUUGUGCAACAUUUUCCCAUGAUUGUUUUCAAAAUUCUUUAAACACUGUCAAAUUGGUUGUUCAUCAUUGCUAGACAUCCAUUUUCAGGUCUUGACAUAUAUUUUCAAGUAGAUGUAAGUAAAAAAUGUAACUCGGCCACUCAUGAACACCACUGGCUUCUUGGUAGGCAACUCCAGUGUAGAUUUGGCCUUGUGUUUUAAGUUAUUGUCCUGCUGAAACAUGAAUUCAUAUCACUGUGUCUGGUGAAAAGCAGACUGAACCAGGUUUUCCUCUAGGAUUUUCCUGUGCUUAGCUCCAUUCCGUUCCUUUUUUAUCCUGAAAAGCUACCCAGCCCAUAUCAAUUAUAAGCAUACCCAUAACAUGAUGCAGCUACCACUAUGCUUGAAAAUAUUGAGAGUGAUACUCAGUAAUGUGUUGUAUUGUAUUUGCCCCAAAAAUAACGUUUCGUAUUCAGGACAAAAAGUUAAUUGUUUUGCCACAUUUUUUAAAUAAUUACUUUAGUGCCUUGUUGCAAACAAAAUGCAUGUUUGGAAUAUUUGUAUUCUGUACAAGCUUCCUUAUUUUCACUCUUUCACUAGGUUACUACUGUGGAGUACCAACAAUGUUAUUGAUCCAUACUCAGUUUUCUCCUAUCACAGACAUUAAACUUUCUAACUGUUUUAUAGUCA
This is a long non-coding RNA of Oncorhynchus keta (chum salmon), 1627 nucleotides long. RefSeq lists it as uncharacterized. The transcript has 2 exons. Lineage: Eukaryota; Metazoa; Chordata; Actinopteri; Salmoniformes; Salmonidae. The record is from RefSeq and is a predicted model, not a curated record.